GAUGAACGCUGGCGGCGUGCCUAAUACAUGCAAGUCGAGCGAACGGACGAGAAGCUUGCUUCUCUGAUGUUAGCGGCGGACGGGUGAAUAACACGUGGAUAACCUACCUAUAAGACUGGGAUAACUUCGGGAAACCGGAGCUAAUACCGGAUAAUAUUUUGAACCGCAUGGUUCAAAAGUGAAAGACGGUCUUGCUGUCACUUAUAGAUGGAUCCGCGCUGCAUUAGCUAGUUGGUAAGGUAACGGCUUACCAAGGCAACGAUGCAUAGCCGACCUGAGAGGGUGAUCGGCCACACUGUAACUGAGACACGGGCCAGACUCCUACGGGAGGCAGCAGUAGGGAAUCUUCCGCAAUGGGCGAAAGCCUGACGGAGCAACGCCGCGUGAGUGAUGAAGGUCUUCGGAUCGUAAAACUCUAUUAUUAGGGAAGAACAUAUGUGUAAGUAACUGUGCACAGCUUGACGGUACCUAAUCAGAAAGCCACGGCUAACUACGUG
Molecule: ribosomal RNA, 497 nt
Filed under: uncultured bacterium
Lineage: Bacteria
Description: partial 16S ribosomal RNA
Rfam family: Bacterial small subunit ribosomal RNA
Source: RNAcentral